This 1024-nucleotide long non-coding RNA is filed under the name Capra hircus (goat). RNAcentral's name for it is "lncRNA (ENSCHIG00000004025.1)". The record is from RNAcentral. Lineage: Eukaryota; Metazoa; Chordata; Mammalia; Artiodactyla; Bovidae.
GGAAAUAAUCAAGGCAGGUUCUGCCCCGGCCAGAGGUUAAAGCAAGGGAACGCAGAGGGCUGCAUUCAUUUUGCCUGCUCUCAGGCUGUAGCAGGCUCAUGUAGUGAUGUGUACCCUCUUGGUAUGUCUGUUCUCACAGCAUUAUAGGUUCCUCUGGCCUGGGCAUGUUGUGUGAAGAGGCUGCGUCCUGUGCUGGUUGGUCCCCUCCAUUUCUUUUCUGACACUUGCCCAGGGUCAGGUGCCCUUGUUUGUGCUUGGCGGUAGGAGCACGGGGUAUUUCACGUGUCCCUUCCCUUUGGAUGAGGGGGCCUCCCUUCUUGUUCCUUCCUCCCAUCUUCUGUCUUUCACAGAACUGGCUACAAGGGGUGAGCCACAGAGUCGUGGUUGCUGGAAUGCCACUGUGGGUGACCGGAUUCAUUUUCUAGCAUCAGCAUCCGCCCAGAGGAGAACACAAGGGUGAAUGAUCACUUGGCCACAUCCCAGAGCACAUGCCCUUAUCCCCGAAAAGUCAAUAUGAUGGAUCUGUGUGCAGCAAGACAGGAAAUGCGUCAGUGCCCAUAUACCUGUGUCUCAUAGGAGCUGCUGGUCACUUGUGGAGGACUCACGCAAGAUGUCUGUUGGUAUCCCAGCAUAGUCCCAUGGGUGCAGAGCUGAGAGUGCCUGUAAAUGCCAUGGCAGUAGCUGUGGUUCCCACUGAAAAGAGACUGUGGGGGAAGAGGAGUCAGAGUGAAGGAGAGGAUGAGGAGGGAAAUCGGUACAUCAGUCAUCUCUGGGCGCUAGUGUUGGCCCAGGCAGGACAUCAAGAAGAAGAGGUCUGGAGAAGCUGCCUGAACCUCACCUCUAUUGGACUGAGAGAAAUGCCUCCUGCUUCCCUCUUUUUCAAGACCACCACUCUUCCAGCUUGUCUGCCAAGGAACCAGUUUGGUAAUAAAAUCAAAGCAUGUGAUCAACAGCUCGUACAUUAUAUUGGUGUGGACCCGAGAGCACAGACGAAGAGCAGACACUGACCUCACACUUCUGAUAG